UUAGGGGAUUUUAACGAAAUUUUAUAUCCUUCAGAAAAAUAGGGCGGUUUGACAAGACAACUUGGUAUGAUAAGAGAGUUUCGUGAAUGCCUAAUGGAUUGUGGGCUCGACGACUUAGGCUAUAUCGGUGAUCUUUUCACUUGGAGGAGAGGAGAAAUACGUGAGCGUCUUGAUCAGGCGGUCUAUAAUUUAGCGUGGGCAAAUAAGUUUCCACGAGCGGCAGUGAUAAGCGAAGAAGAUGUUCAUUCUGACCACCACCCAAUUGUACUGGACAUGGAUUAUUUGGAUGUAAAAUCAUUAAACGACCGGAGGGGCAUGUUAAACAAUUUGAGGCGAGGUGUUGAAGGAAGAGACGGUCACUGA
Molecule: ribosomal RNA, 363 nt
Filed under: Triticum aestivum (bread wheat)
Lineage: Eukaryota; Viridiplantae; Streptophyta; Magnoliopsida; Poales; Poaceae
Description: partial small subunit ribosomal RNA
Source: RNAcentral